CCUACGGGGGGCUGCAGUGAGGAAUAUUGGUCAAUGGACGGAAGUCUGAACCAGCCAUGCCGCGUGCAGGAAGACGGCUCUAUGAGUUGUAAACUGCUUUUGUACAAGGGUAAACCUGAAUACGUGUAUUCAGCUGAAAGUACUGUACGAAUAAGGAUCGGCUAACUCCGUGCCAGCAGCCGCGGUAAUACGGAGGAUCCAAGCGUUAUCCGGAUUUAUUGGGUUUAAAGGGUGCGUAGGCGGAUUGAUAAGUUAGAGGUGAAAUGUCCGAGCUUAACUCGGGAACUGCCUCUAAUACUGUUGUUCUAGAGAGUAGAUGCGGUAGGCGGAAUGUAUGGUGUAGCGGUGAAAUGCUUAGAGAUCAUACAGAACACCGAUUGCGAAGGCAGCUUACCAAUCUAUAUCUGACGUUGAGGCACGAAAGCGUGGGGAUCAAACAGGAUUAGAUACCCGAGUAGUC
This 460-nucleotide ribosomal RNA is filed under the name uncultured bacterium. RNAcentral's name for it is "partial 16S ribosomal RNA". It matches the Rfam family "Bacterial small subunit ribosomal RNA", at positions 338 to 795 of the family's 1533-position model. The record is from RNAcentral.